Molecule: non-coding RNA, 189 nt
Organism: Vicia faba (fava bean)
Lineage: Eukaryota; Viridiplantae; Streptophyta; Magnoliopsida; Fabales; Fabaceae
Source: the annotation of a GenBank genome assembly
AUGGCGAAUUUCCUCCGACUCCUUGCGACUACGACAACCACACCGCCCUCCACCAUUGAGAAAAAAGAAGGCCGAGAUCUGAAUAGAAAGAGGAAAGUUGUUUUACUUUUUUUUUCUUCUUUUUUCAUAUGGAGCAUAUAUGAUAAUGGUUUUAUGUUGCAUUUUUUUAGCCUACCACAUGUCUUCUAA